Passer domesticus (house sparrow) is the source of this 3036-nucleotide long non-coding RNA. RefSeq lists it as uncharacterized. The record is from RefSeq and is a predicted model, not a curated record. The transcript has 3 exons. Lineage: Eukaryota; Metazoa; Chordata; Aves; Passeriformes; Passeridae.
UUUGUUGUUGGUGGUGUGCUGUUUGAGCUGUUGUAGAAGACCUGGGCUUAUUCUGGGUCUUCAGUUCUCCCUGGCUUAUUUUUUUUAUUUUAGUAAACGAGAGCCUGUUUCAACUUGCUCUGGAAUCUGGCCUCGUUUGAAUUUGUAACAUCUUUUGGGGACUCAUCCGGGUUCGGCCACGACCCUGAGGUGGUCCGGGGUAGGCUGGAGCCCGAAGACGUGUCCAGCCACAUUUUGGCUGCCGAGCUUUCGACUACAUCGGACUGAGGAGGGGAAGGCGCCGACUCCCAAAGCCAGUGAGAAGAGCAGCAGCUCAAAAGCACCUUGGAGGAAAUAAUGAAGCACUUUACACCUGAGGACAAUACCCAAGUUCUGCAGUAUGUGGACGAUCUACUAAUUUCUGGAGAACAAAAGGAGGAGAUCAGAAGAUCCAAGCAGAGAAAUAGAGCAUUCUCCCACGCAUCUAGCAAUCUGGCCCUAAAAAGGAUAGAAGAAACAAGUUGAUACAAAAGGGAAAGUGAACUCCUGCUACAGUAACGGGUAAGAGUAACACGUUAAGAAAAGGAAAAAGGGGGGCAAGACCGGAUCAAGUUACAUUCUCGCCAUAGAAAGUUGCUGAUCCUCUACGGAGGGAAGACAUGAUUAGGAGAGUGGCUUGUACCGGACCCCCGUUCCUAUGUAUCCUCCUACUUAUGAUCCUUGAUAAGGAAUGGACAGAACCAUGCGAAAAGUGUUACUACCCUUUGUACGCAGGAGAAUCUCGGACUGCCGUCCUCAGAACACACACUAACCCGAGUCCUAAUUGUAUCAACUUUUUAUCGGUAACAGCAUGCAUAGAGGACGGUAAAACAUAUUGGCUGUUCGAAAAAAUAGGAAAUUUUAAACACAAAUUGUUGGGGGAACGCCCUAUAAAAGAAAAGUGGAUCUGUUCUGCAAAGAAACCUAUUGAAGGGCAAGUAAGAGAUGACAAUUAUGAACCUGAUCUGAUAAAAGAAAAAGAAAUAAAAGGGGUAAUCAAAAAGGGACCAAAAAUCUCGACUCUGGGAGGGAAGAACCUAUUUCUUGACCUAGCAGAGAAAAUCAGUCGCAAAUUUAAUGUCUCCAACUGCUGGAUCUGUGGGGACACUCGUAUGGCCGAGAUUUGGCCAUGGGAAGGGAUUCCUAUGAGUCCGAGAGAUGUGCUUAGGAUUCUAGAGAAAGAAGGAUCCGAACGAGACAGCAGACCAGAAGAAGGAGUCUGGAAACUGAGAUCCGAAGUAAUUGGUGAAGAGUGUCUUUGGAGGAGACAUCAAAAGUACACCGUGCAUUUGGGUGAGAUCCAUUGCAAACGUUAUUUAGUCCUAGAUGACACCCGUCAGUGGUGGAUCCCCAAAAAUCCCCAUUUGUAUUGGUCUAGGUCCAAGAGAUUCCAAUGUUCAUACAUAGAAAGAGAAAAGCUAUAUGAAUGUCCCACCAGAGAACCCAAUCCAUUCUGGGAUGUACCACAACUUGCCAAAUUUUGGAACCAAACUAGUUAUCAAUUAGAGAGCCAGCUCCAGUUUUGGAGAGCUCCCAAAAAUUUAUACUGGUUGUGCGGAAAAAGAGCUUAUGUAGUCCUGCCAAAAGGAUGGGCUGGAAGUUGUACAUUGGGAGUAAUAAGACUCUCCUUCUUUCUCCUCCCCAGGGUAGAAGGAUACCAUUUAGGGAUACCCCUAUAUGAUGAGCUAGCCUGGAAAAAGCGAGACUUAUCCAUAGGAGGCACCCAACAAUGGGGGGAGGAAGAAUGGCCACCAGAACGUAUUAUAGCCACCUACGGUCCAGCUGCUUGGGCUCAAGAUGGGUCAUGGGGAUAUAGGACACCUAUUUACAUGCUAAACCGAAUAAUCAGGUUGCAAGCCCUAUUAGAAAUCAUCUCUAACCAAUCCACUUUAACUAUAGACCUCCUUAAUGCUCAAUCCAGACAAAUGAGAGCGAUGAUUUAUCAGAACCAGCUAGCUUUAGACUGCCUUCUAGCUGAAGAAGGAGGAGUCUGUGGAAAAUUUAAUUCCUCAGAAUGCUGUAUUGAGAUAGGUGAUAACAGCAAAGUAAUUACUAAUAUUACUACCAACAUUAGAAAACUAGCCCGUGUCCCUGUCCAGAGGUGGACCCCAUUGAUUCAAACUGAUUUAGGAAAUUGGUGGAAUAACUUAUUAAAAAGGGAUUGGUGGAAGAAAGUAUUGGUAAUCCUAAGUGGUGCCCUAAUAAGUAUUGUUCUCCGUCCAUGUAUGAUCCCAUGCCUCAUCCGGGUCGUUACGAAAACCGUGAUCAGCUCCCUCGAGCUCACCCUCAAAAGUGGAAACAAGGACAAAGAUGCUAAGAACAUUUUAAUGUUACAAGAACAAGGAGUGGAACCCAACCCAAUGGCAGAGACAGAUGAGUCCGCAGCCGAAACGUACAGGAGAUACCAGAAAUUAAGAAAAUCAUAUACCAUAGAAGAAGAAACUGUUUAAAAACAGUUCAAAAUGAACUGUUGAAGAGACUUUCUAAAGAAACUGUUUUAAGACUGUUCAAAAAUGAACUACUAAGAGACUGUUUAAAAAGACUGUUUAAGGAAAGACUGAGUGGAGCUGUUGAUGCGGGCUAAAGCCCGAUCAAAGUUUUAGAGAGGGGAGUUGUUAUAAGUUUGGUUUUUAAUAAAGUUGGGGUUUGCUUGUUGUGGGGGAAGGGAAGUGUCCAGGACUUGGUGGGGGCUGGAGGUGGAUGGUGAUUGGACCAGGGCACUGACCAAUCACUCGACGCCCUGAAGAAAUGAUUGGUCCAGAAUGAACACGAGUACGGACCAAUCAAGGCGCCCGAAUUCCAACAGUCGGUGUUCGGAUCCAAAACCCACCAAUCCUAGACCAAGGGUAGUAAUAAAAAGGGGGGGUUUUCAGUUACAGGGGGUUCUUUCGCUUUUGUUGUUGGUGGUGUGCUGUUUCAGCUGUUGUAGAAGACCUGGGCUAAUCCUGGGUCUUCAGUUCCCCCUGGCUUAUUUUUUUUAUUUUAAAAAACGAGAGCCUGUUUCAACUUGCUCUGGAA